This 550-nucleotide ribosomal RNA is filed under the name Concholepas concholepas. Its description in RNAcentral is "partial 16S ribosomal RNA". It matches the Rfam family "Bacterial large subunit ribosomal RNA", at positions 1797 to 2619 of the family's 2925-position model. Lineage: Eukaryota; Metazoa; Mollusca; Gastropoda; Neogastropoda; Muricidae. The record is from RNAcentral.
CGCCUGUUUAUCAAAAACAUGGCUCCCUGUUUUUUCACAUAGGGAGUCGGACCUGCUCGGUGAAUUAUUUUAACAGCCGCGGUACUCUGACCGUGCAAAGGUAGCAUAAUCAUUUGCCUUAUAAUUGAAGGCUAGUAUGAAUGGUUUGACGAGAAUUGAGCUGUCUCUUUUCAACUAAAUAUAAUUUUAUUAAUAGGUGAAGAAGCCUAUAUUUCAUUGAAAGACAAGAAGACCCUAUCGAGCUUUAAGGAAUUUAAUAGACUCGCCAUAUAUUUAUAGAAAAACGAGACUACUAAAAACUUUGGUUGGGGCGACUGAGGAACAAAUAAAGCUUCCUCUUGAUUUAAAAUAACUUACAGGUAUUGAUCCGAUAAAUUUGAUUAAAGGAAUUAGUUACCGUAGGGAUAACAGCAUAAUCCCCUUUGAGAGUCCUUAUCGAAAAGGGGGUUUGUGACCUCGAUGUUGGACCAGAAUACCCAGAAGAUGCAGCCGUCUUCAAUGGUUGGUCUGUUCGACCAUUAAAAUUCUACGUGAUCUGAGUUCAGACCGG